AUGGCGCGGCCACAGCAGCGGUACCGCGGCGUGCGGCAGCGCCACUGGGGCUCCUGGGUCUCCGAGAUCCGCCACCCCCUCCUCAAGACGAGGAUCUGGCUGGGCACCUUCGAGACGGCGGAGGACGCGGCGCGCGCCUACGACGAGGCGGCACGCAUCAUGUGCGGCCCGCGCGUGCGCACCAACUUCCCCGACAAGGACGCCGCCCCGUCGUCGUCGUUCCUCUCCCCGGCGCUGGUCGCCAAGCUCCACCGCUUCAACGUGGCGUGCGGCUCGCAGGCCGGGCAGCAGCAGGACAAGGACGCCUCGACGUCGUCCGUGGGCGUGGACCCGCGCUCGCCGCCGGCGCCGUUCGCCGGGUACACGGGCAAUGCCAGCGCGGCGGCGGCCUCGGCGGCCGCCGGGUGGAGCGGCGGGUUCCUGGAGGAGCAGUACGUGGAGCAGAUGAUCGAGGAGCUGCUGGACUCCAACUUCUCCAUGGAGAUCUCCUACUAG
This 495-nucleotide ribosomal RNA is filed under the name Triticum aestivum (bread wheat). RNAcentral's name for it is "partial small subunit ribosomal RNA". The record is from RNAcentral. Lineage: Eukaryota; Viridiplantae; Streptophyta; Magnoliopsida; Poales; Poaceae.